GACGAACGCUGGCGGCGUGCUUAACACAUGCAAGUCGAACGGAAAGGCCCUGCUUUUGUGGGGUGCUCGAGUGGCGAACGGGUGAGUAACACGUGAGUAACCUGCCCUUGACUUUGGGAUAACUUCAGGAAACUGGGGCUAAUACCGGAUAGGAGCUCCUGCUGCAUGGUGGGGGUUGGAAAGUUUCGGCGGUUGGGGAUGGACUCGCGGCUUAUCAGCUUGUUGGUGGGGUAGUGGCUUACCAAGGCUUUGACGGGUAGCCGGCCUGAGAGGGUGACCGGCCACAUUGGGACUGAGAUACGACCCAGACUCCUACAGGAGGCAGCAGUGUUGAAUAUUUCACAAUGGGCGGAAGCCUGAUGCAGCAACGCCGCGUGCGGGAUGACGGCCUUCGGGUUGUAAACCGCUUUCGCCUGUGACGAAGCGUGAGUGACGGUAAUGGGUAAAGAAGCACCGGCUAACUACGUG
This 468-nucleotide ribosomal RNA is filed under the name uncultured bacterium. RNAcentral's name for it is "partial 16S ribosomal RNA". It matches the Rfam family "Bacterial small subunit ribosomal RNA", at positions 28 to 507 of the family's 1533-position model. The record is from RNAcentral.